AAGUAUGACUAUUUCAAAGCACCUGUAGCAAAGACCUGCUGGAAUAAAAACAUUUUGGGUUUGAUUUUAUUAUUUUAACAAUGUACUGUUACAAAUGCUACAAAUUUUGAGUGUGCAGUCAGGUUCUAUGGAGUUAUUAAUAGAUAAAGGAUAGCAUUAUUUUUAUUGAGUUCACUACUUUAAAUUCACGUUUCUAUUAACAAGUUUAUAAAUAAUAAAAAACGAAGGAAACUUAUCGCAACAAAACAUAAAUGAUUUAGAACGAAUUGAAUUUACAAAAAAAAUCAGAAUAAUUAUAUAACAGGGAAAAUAAAUCAAAAUUAUA
Bombyx mori (domestic silkworm) is the source of this 325-nucleotide long non-coding RNA. RefSeq lists it as uncharacterized. Lineage: Eukaryota; Metazoa; Arthropoda; Insecta; Lepidoptera; Bombycidae. The transcript is spliced from 2 exons. The record is from RefSeq and is a predicted model, not a curated record.